UUACUGGCCUUUCCUAACCGGCUGCUUUCUUUGGUAGCACGCAACAGGCCCUGGAACAGGCUAAGUCAGUGACUGGCGAACUAGAAGACCUGAAGGCUAUUGCAAAAAGUCUGGAAGAGGAGAAGGGCAAAUACUACUCACAAUCCCGGCAGCUGGAGAAGGAACAGCUGUGCCUCUCUCUACAAGUGGACUGUCUUCAAGAGGAGGCCCAGCUCUGUGAAUAUGAAACUCUCCUCUCCUGCAAAGACACUGCCCUUACUGAGAAAACAAACC
RNAcentral lists this long non-coding RNA (273 nucleotides) under Gopherus agassizii (Agassiz's desert tortoise). RNAcentral's name for it is "lncRNA (ENSGAGG00000011792.1)". Lineage: Eukaryota; Metazoa; Chordata; Testudines; Testudinidae. The record is from RNAcentral.